This is a long non-coding RNA of Leucoraja erinaceus (little skate), 2483 nucleotides long. RefSeq lists it as uncharacterized. Lineage: Eukaryota; Metazoa; Chordata; Chondrichthyes; Rajiformes; Rajidae. The record is from RefSeq and is a predicted model, not a curated record. The transcript is spliced from 3 exons.
CUGCGCCCAAAUUCUAUUAUUUAUUUUUUUGCAAUUUACAUUUUGCAAAGGUUUUUAUUUUGCACCAGGGUGCGGGAACUGACACAUUGCACCGUCGGGCGGCUGGAGUUGACUUUAGUUUAGGCGCGCGGUUAGUCCUGUCAGUGCGGGCGGGACGAGGCAAUAAUGUCUCUUGACACAAAACAACUAAAUGCACCGAGCUUUCAAGAGACGCGUUUUUCAAAUGACGGAGUGGGGAAUAAAGAGAGAUUCUAAUUUUCUGGCGAAUGCACCUUUUUAGUUGAUGUUACAACGCGACAGGUUCCUCCCAUCAGCUCCUUCCUUCCUUCCUUCCUUCGCUGACUCUAAAACGAAUUGCAAAUGAAUGUCUUUAAACAAAAAAUUCUGCCGGCCGCUCACUCCUGGAUAUCAUUAGGAAGCCGGUUGUGCUAUCUGGUGCGUCAGGCAGAAAAGUGAAUGCAAUGCAAAACCACAUUGAAACGCCGCAGUUUGUGUACACCAAGAUGAACAAACUUUGUUGGACGAGCAGCUACAACAAUGAGGAGAUCAAUUGCUGGACUCAAUAGCAACGCAGGGAGGACUUAUCCAGCCCACAGAUUGUUGACUUGGGGUUGCAACAGCAGCAGUGGUUUGGAAGCUGCACUGGCUGAAAACAACAUGAUUCCGACUGAUGAAGAUGCUGGAAAUCUGAACGAGAACAAGAAUGCAUUUGCAUGUAAAUAUUCAUCAGGUGAGGUCAGACCAUGGCAUCGGAUGGAGAGAUUUGCCGAUUUUGGGUGAUGACAUUUCUCCCAUUCUUCCCCACAGAUGGUGUAUGACCCACAGUGAUUUUAGCUUGUAUUAUUUUUAUUAAAAGGGCUUGAACUUGUUAGUGCUCAUGCAGGUUUGAAUGGUAUGCACAAGACCCUCCAGCCUCAAUGUACACUGGUGGAAAAGUUAAAAAAAUAUAUAUAUAUUAUGAUAUACUGAUAAAUAUAUAUGUCUAAUAAUAUUUAUUUCAAAAAGACACAGGGAACUGCAGAUGCCGGAAUCUGCAAAGCAAAACACAAAGUGCUGGAGGAACUCAGUAGAUCAGGCAGCAACUGUGAAGGGAAUGGACAUUCGUUAUUUUGUGUUGAGACUCUUCUUCUGACUGGUAGGAAUGUUUAAGAAACAUUUAGACUGGUUCAUGGACAGGAAAGGUUUAGAAGGAUAUGGGCUAAACGCAGGCAGAUGAGACUAGUGUACAUGGGACUUGUUGGACAGUGUGGGCAAGUUGGGCUGAAGGGCCUGUUUCCAUGCUGUAAGACUCUAUAACUAGUGGUUCAAAUUUGAUUAUACACUGACCUAUGUACUACUGCACUGCCCACAGUGAAUUGUUGGUGUUGAGGUGUUUUGAUGUGGUGCUUAUUUUCUGUCUAAUUAAUUGGGAACUAGCUUGUGAGUAAAGUUACUGAAAAAAAUAAAUGUGUGUGUGGGAAAUAAGUGAGAAGAGUAACUCCAACAGGGUAAGUAUUUUGUCCAUUCUGGUGAUUUACGGGAUAGUUGCAGUGGAGUUUGGAAAGGAGGACUGUAAAGUGUCAGAGUGCUUUAGACACAAUACAGGGACAUCUAUGGCAUGGAAACAUGUGGGACGGUGUUGCGGAUAUAACAUCCAGAGUAAGUUUCUUGAGUGAGCUAAUGAACGGAUCUGUGUAGAGAACAGUACACAAAAAUGUCUCUGUGUCAUAAAUAGAAAGUGCAUAAAUAAGCAAAGCCAAUAUGUUUUCAUUUACUCAGUCCAGAAGGGUUCAAAUCUAUAUUUACCUUCUAUGUUCCAAUAUUGGUUUCCUGACUUUGUGCUGCCAGGCCUUCUCUAACUCUGGCAGGAGAGGUUGAGGGGAAGGGUGGGUUUACAAACACAACCUGGAGAACAUACUGUGUAUAGCCACACUUGCUGUCAAUCUGGAAACAUAUACUGGGAGAUUUGGCAGAGUUGUCUGCUAGAAAUGAACAAAAAUAGAACAAUUGGUGUGAGAAUCAGGCUGAACUCAGAGUAUAGGGUUCCAAAAGAAUGCUUUCUUAAAGGUAUGAAUUAUUAGAUUGGAUUUUAAAUGUCUCUCAACCAGGGCCAGAUUUAUGUAUAAGCUUCACAAGCUUAAGCUUAGGGCCUCGAGAUCUAGGGGGGCCUCGGCAGGGCCGGAUUUACCUACAGGCCUCAAAGGUUGAAGCCGAGGGCCUCAAAAUGUUUUUUUCCCCAGAGUAAAAAAAAUCCUGAGAAAAAAAAAUUGGAGCGCUAUCAGCGUUUCCACUUUGACGGAAAUUCCCUGAAAUCCUGGUUCCGGCCGCUGGAAAUUUUGGGGAAAAAAAUUGCGACCUGCACAGUUGGGGGAAGCCGGUGACGCAGUAGCAACGCAAAAUUACGCUGUCUCUCUGCGUGUGCGCAGUGGGCCCGGACAGGUUCAGAUCUCCAUUUGCACUCGACACAAUCACCUCGAUGCCUCGUGUCUACUCCAGGUAAGUAG